AUCAGCCUACGGGGGGCAGCAGUAGGGAAUAUUGCUCAAUGGGGGAAACCCUGAAGCAGCAACGCCGCGUGGAGGAUGAAGGUUUUCGGAUUUGAAACUCCUUUUGUUAGAGAAGAUAAUGACGGUAUCUAACGAAUAAGCACCGGCUAACUCCGUGCCAGCAGCCGCGGUACUACGAAGGGUGCAAGCGUUACUCGGAAUCACUGGGCGUAAAGAGCGCGUAGGCGGGAUAGCAAGUCAGCUGUCAAAUCCUAUGGCUUAACCAUAGAACUGCAUUUGAAACUGUUAUUCUAGAUUA
Molecule: ribosomal RNA, 298 nt
Filed under: uncultured bacterium
Lineage: Bacteria
Description: partial 16S ribosomal RNA
Rfam family: Bacterial small subunit ribosomal RNA
Source: RNAcentral